GGCCUUCGGGUUGUAAAGCUCUUUCGGCCGGGAAGAAAUCGCAUAGGCUAAUACCCUGUGUGGAUGACGGUACCGGAAUAAGAAGCACCGGCUAACUACGUGCCAGCAGCCGCGGUAAUACGUAGGGUGCGAGCGUUAAUCGGAAUUACUGGGCGUAAAGCGUGCGCAGGCGGUUUAGUAAGACAGGCGUGAAAUCCCCGGGCUCAACCUGGGAACUGCGCUUGUGACUGCUAAGCUAGAGUACGGCAGAGGGGGGUGGAAUUCCACGUGUAGCAGUGAAAUGCGUAGAGAUGUGGAGGAACACCGAUGGCGAAGGCAGCCCCCUGGGCCGAUACUGACGCUCAUGCACGAAAGCGUGGGUAGCAAACAGGAUUAGAUACCCUGGUAGUCCACGCCCUAAACGAUGUCAACUAGGUGUUGGGAGGGUAAAACCUUUUAGUACCGGAGCUAACGCGUGAAGUUGACCGCCUGGGGAGUACGGCCGCAAGGUUAAAACUCAAAGGAAUUGACGGGGACCCGCACAAGCGGUGGAUGAUGUGGAUUAAUUCGAUGCAACGCGAAAAACCUUACCUACCCUUGACAUGUCCAGAAGCUCUUAGAGAUUUGAGUGUGCCCGAAAGGGAGCUGGAACACAGGUGCUGCAUGGCUGUCGUCAGCUCGUGUCGUGAGAUGUUGGGUUAAGUCCCGCAACGAGCGCAACCCUUGUCGUUAAUUGCCAUCAUUUAGUUGGGCACUUUAACGAGACUGCCGGUGACAAACCGGAGGAAGGUGGGGAUGACGUCAAGUCCUCAUGGCCCUUAUGGGUAGGGCUUCACACGUCAUACAAUGGUCGGUACAGAGGGUUGCCAAGCCGCGAGGUGGAGCCAAUCCCAGAAAGCCGAUCGUAGUCCGGAUUGCAGGCUGCAACUCGCCUGCAUGAAGUCGGAAUCGCUAGUAAUCGCGGAUCAGCAUGUCGCGGUGAAUACGUUCCCGGGUCUUGUACACACCGCCCGUCACACCAUGGGAGCGGGUUCCGCCAGAAGUAGGUAGCCUAACCGCAAGGGGGGCGCU
Molecule: ribosomal RNA, 1050 nt
Filed under: Dechloromonas sp.
Lineage: Bacteria; Pseudomonadati; Pseudomonadota; Betaproteobacteria; Rhodocyclales; Azonexaceae
Description: bacterial SSU rRNA
Rfam family: Bacterial small subunit ribosomal RNA
Source: RNAcentral